This 843-nucleotide ribosomal RNA is filed under the name uncultured bacterium. RNAcentral describes it as "bacterial SSU rRNA". It matches the Rfam family "Bacterial small subunit ribosomal RNA", at positions 73 to 893 of the family's 1533-position model. The record is from RNAcentral.
GUUUAUUUCGGUAAACACCAAGUGGCGAACGGGUGAGUAACGCGUAAGCAAUCUACCUUCAAGAUGGGGACAACACUUCGAAAGGGGUGCUAAUACCGAAUGAAUGUAAGAGUAUCGCAUGAGACACUUACUAAAGGAGGCCUCUGAAAAUGCUUCCGCUUGAAGAUGAGCUUGCGUCUGAUUAGCUAGUUGGUGAGGGUAAAGGCCCACCAAGGCGACGAUCAGUAGCCGGUCUGAGAGGAUGAACGGCCACAUUGGGACUGAGACACGGCCCAGACUCCUACGGGAGGCAGCAGUGGGGAAUCUUCCGCAAUGGGCGAAAGCCUGACGGAGCAACGCCGCGUGAACGAAGAAGGUCUUAGGAUCGUAAAGUUCUGUUGUUAGGGACGAAGGGUAAGAAUCAUAAUAAGGUUUUUAUUUGACGGUACCUAACGAGGAAGCCACGGCUAACUACGUGCCAGCAGCCGCGGUAAUACGUAGGCGGCAAGCGUUGUCCGGAAUUAUUGGGCGUAAAGGGAGCGCAGGCGGGAAACUAAGCGGAUCUUAAAAGUGCGGGGCUCAACCCCGUGAUGGGGUCCGAACUGGUUUUCUUGAGUGCAGGAGAGGAAAGCGGAAUUCCCAGUGUAGCGGUGAAAUGCGUAGAUAUUGGGAAGAACACCAGUGGCGAAGGCGGCUUUCUGGACUGUAACUGACGCUGAGGCUCGAAAGCUAGGGUAGCGAACGGGAUUAGAUACCCCGGUAGUCCUAGCCGUAAACGAUGGAUACUAGGUGUGGGAGGUAUCGACUCCUUCCGUGCCGGAGUUAACGCAAUAAGUAUCCCGCCUGGGGAGUACGGCCGCAAGG